GCAAGUCGAGCGCACCCUUCGGGGUGAGCGGCGGACGGGUUAGUAACGCGUGGGAAUAUGCCCAAAGGUAGGGAAUAGCCACUGGAAACGGUGAGUAAUACCCUAUGUGCCCUUCGGGGGAAAGAUUUAUCGCCUUUGGAUUAGCCCGCGUUGGAUUAGGUAGUUGGUGAGGUAACGGCUCACCAAGCCGACGAUCCAUAGCUGGUUUGAGAGGAUGAUC
RNAcentral lists this ribosomal RNA (220 nucleotides) under uncultured bacterium. RNAcentral describes it as "partial 16S ribosomal RNA". It matches the Rfam family "Bacterial small subunit ribosomal RNA", at positions 57 to 305 of the family's 1533-position model. The record is from RNAcentral.